Molecule: long non-coding RNA, 1789 nt
Filed under: Mustela putorius furo (domestic ferret)
Lineage: Eukaryota; Metazoa; Chordata; Mammalia; Carnivora; Mustelidae
Description: lncRNA (ENSMPUG00000027565.1)
Source: RNAcentral
GGUGUGUCCAGUCCUGUUGUGCCGCUGGGUACUCCGAGGCGUGGGGGCGGCCGAGCAGCAGCCCCGUGUCUGUCGUGCCGAGGGAUGUGAGAGGCUCACACGGCCUCCCGUCCCCACCCAAACAGGAGAAAACCCACGAACAGGAAACCACGCGCUUUCAGGCUCCGUCUGCGCUGCCUGCCCGCGGCUGGCCGCCUGCUGAGGGACGCCCACCCGCCCGGCCAGAGCCUCACAUGGAAGCCCUGGCGCUCAGAAGUAAGGAAAGGCCUGGUCUGAAUUCGGUGGACACUGCUGUGUUCACUGUGGACGAUUUUCGCCAGUGUGGCCCACCCCUGGCCGGGCCGCACGUCCCCAGGAGCAGGACCGUCCCAGAUGCCAGCGCUGGAAGCUGUAGCAGCUCGCAGGAGGUUACGGUCCCUUCUAGGCUGCGGUGUGUUCGGACGGAGGACCUGCCGGAGCAAGCCUGCAGCGGAGACUGUGCCCACAGGCACAUGUGCUUGGCCUCAACUCGGCGCCGGCUGCCCGCCGCCCGUGUGCCCGCAGAGCCCCUGCCGAGGAUGGGUGCCCUUCUCUGCAGACGGAGCACGGGGCUUGGAGCCGUGAGGGCUGUGGGCGGCUGGCACCCCAGGAAGCCUCAGUCUGUGGUUCUCCUCCCUUUGCCCUAAACCAUCAGCCCCUUUGUUUUUAACUUUGGCAAGCUAACCUCAAACUUAACCAUUUUCACCCAUUUGGUGCACGGCUGAGUGGCAUUACAAUACGUGCCCACCGUCGCUGCCAUCCAUCUCCAGAACUUCCCAUCUCUUCCCAAGAAACAAUGUUUCUCAGUCCCCAUGAAACAACGUUUCCCUGCCCCCCUCACCUCCCCGGCCCCAGCCCCCAUCCACUUUCUGACUAUGAACUUGACUCCUCUCCGACCUCCUCCAGGACUGGAAUCCCACUCGGUGCAGGUGUGGCCCUCCAGCUCUGCCCACGCUGCCGCGGGGGUCACCAGGCCUUCCUUGUUAGGCCCGGGGAAUUUUUCAUGGUAUUUACAUACCGUUUUGCAAUCCCUUCAUCUGUAAAUAGAUACUUGGCAGUCCCUUAUUUUUUUCAGACGAAACUGCUGGAAUCAGAGAAAUGCGGUGUUUCUCUGCUAGCCUGGCCUCCCCUCCCCCCUGGGCUGCCCGGAAACCCUUUUCUGCCCCGGAGCCCCCUGUGGACACUGCUGGCCUAGAAACACGGGCCAGCCGUGGGGAGGAACACUUGCGCCGCCCUAGAAAGCCUCCCGUCGUCUGACGUGGGCAUCAGAGUGCAGCACAGCCUCAGGGAAAGAACAGAGGGGCGGUGCCCAGGAGAAGGGGUGCCCCGGGCGACACAGCGGCGGGUCCCCUGGGCCUCCCUGAGUGGACGGCCAGGUCGUGCUCUCCCUGCCACUCCGAGCAGGUGCCGCCUGCUCGCUGCUCCGUCCCAGCUGCGGCUCGUGUCCACCUGCUCCCGGAGCCUCGCCGGGGCCUGGUGCUCGGCACAGACGCGGAUUCCAGGAGAACCCGGGCGACGGCAGCACCACAGAGCUGGCCCCCAGGAGCGCUCUGCCCCCGCCGGGCCUCGUGGCUAAAGAUAGCAGCUCGGGAGCCUCCAGACGCCGCCGCCUAGCCGGCUGGCACUGCAGAACACGGCUCCGGCCCCUCAAGGCCACUCGCCAAACCGCAGGAUGAAUGGGCUCUCACAAUCAAGCACUUUGAAAGCAAAAUGGAACCGUUCCCCGCUCUCCACUCCCCUGGUUGCUAAAAUUACCCCCGCGAUGCUCGCA